Molecule: ribosomal RNA, 229 nt
Filed under: uncultured bacterium
Lineage: Bacteria
Description: partial 16S ribosomal RNA
Rfam family: Bacterial small subunit ribosomal RNA
Source: RNAcentral
UGCGCAGGCGGACCUAUCAGUCAGUGGUGAAAUCCCGGGGCUCAACUCCGGAACUGCCAUUGAUACUGUAGGUCUUGAGUUUGGUUGAAGUGGGCGGAAUGUAGCAUGUAGCGGUGAAAUGCAUAGAUAUGCUACAGAACACCGAUCGCGAAGGCAGCUCACUAAACCAAAACUGACGCUCAGGCACGAAAGCGUGGGGAGCGAACAGGAUUAGAUACCCUGGUAGUCC